Molecule: long non-coding RNA, 668 nt
Filed under: Ananas comosus (pineapple)
Lineage: Eukaryota; Viridiplantae; Streptophyta; Magnoliopsida; Poales; Bromeliaceae
Description: long non-coding RNA (ACOM_LNC040904)
Source: RNAcentral
AUAUAUAUAUAUAUAUAUAUGCGAUAAUUGAAAUACAUGUCAUGCCUCACAACCAUGCAAUAUGAAAAUCAAGCGAUUUAUGCAACCAAUUAGUAGUUCAAUCGAUACUACUUUAAUCCUGCUAUUCAUAGCUCAUCCAAUUGACCUCGAAGUUAUUUCUCUAUUUUAAACUCAUAUCCAUUACAAUUCUGAUCAUAGGGUCUCAUUUACCUUUAUCAACUAUCCACCUGACUCGGUCUCGAGUCAAUCAUUCGCGGAGUACCGCGCAAAGGCAGGCUCGAGGCGAAGGACGUCUCACUUGCACCUCAGCCUUAAGUCCACUCAACUAGGAUAUUAUUACAACUCAUGUCACGCCCCGGGACCGGCGGAGGCCCUCCCGGUAGCGUGCCCAGACCCGCCAUAUGUCUACACAUAUAAGGCGUCUAUAAUAAAAGCGGAAGUAAAGGCAAGCAGUAGAACAAAUAGAAGAAGUGAAAUAACUAACAACUAAUGAUAUCAGAGCGAGUGAAGUUCUAUCAUCUACACCAAAGCAAAGACAAUAAAGCUAGUCAAACAAGAUAACCAUAAGUAGAACACUAUCUAUCUCAAAGGUACAAAAAUGGUGGUCUCUAGUACACUGGUAAAACUCUCAGCCUCUCGCAAAAAGAAAUACAUCGAGAGGUAGACCC